Molecule: ribosomal RNA, 2899 nt
Filed under: Escherichia coli
Lineage: Bacteria; Pseudomonadati; Pseudomonadota; Gammaproteobacteria; Enterobacterales; Enterobacteriaceae
Description: bacterial LSU rRNA
Rfam family: Bacterial large subunit ribosomal RNA
Source: RNAcentral
UUAAGCGACUAAGCGUACACGGUGGAUGCCCUGGCAGUCAGAGGCGAUGAAGGACGUGCUAAUCUGCGAUAAGCGUCGGUAAGGUGAUAUGAACCGUUAUAACCGGCGAUUUCCGAAUGGGGAAACCCAGUGUGUUUCGACACACUAUCAUUAACUGAAUCCAUAGGUUAAUGAGGCGAACCGGGGAACUGAAACAUCUAAGUACCCCGAGGAAAAGAAAUCAACCGAGAUUCCCCAGUAGCGGCGAGCGAACGGGGAGCAGCCCAGAGCCUGAAUCAGUGUGUGUGUUAGUGGAAGCGUCUGGAAAGGCGCGCGAUACAGGGUGACAGCCCCGUACACAAAAAUGCACAUACUGUGAGCUCGAUGAGUAGGGCGGGACACGUGGUAUCCUGUCUGAAUAUGGGGGGACCAUCCUCCAAGGCUAAAUACUCCUGACUGACCGAUAGUGAACCAGUACCGUGAGGGAAAGGCGAAAAGAACCCCGGCGAGGGGAGUGAAAAAGAACCUGAAACCGUGUACGUACAAGCAGUGGGAGCACGCUUCGGCGUGUGACUGCGUACCUUUUGUAUAAUGGGUCAGCGACUUAUAUUCUGUAGCAAGGUUAACCGAAUAGGGGAGCCGAAGGGAAACCGAGUCUUAACUGGGCGUUAAGUUGCAGGGUAUAGACCCGAAACCCGGUGAUCUAGCCAUGGGCAGGUUGAAGGUUGGGUAACACUAACUGGAGGACCGAACCGACUAAUGUUGAAAAAUUAGCGGAUGACUUGUGGCUGGGGGUGAAAGGCCAAUCAAACCGGGAGAUAGCUGGUUCUCCCCGAAAGCUAUUUAGGUAGCGCCUCGUGAACUCAUCUUCGGGGGUAGAGCACUGUUUCGGCAAGGGGGUCAUCCCGACUUACCAACCCGAUGCAAACUGCGAAUACCGGAGAAUGUUAUCACGGGAGACACACGGCGGGUGCUAACGUCCGUCGUGAAGAGGGAAACAACCCAGACCGCCAGCUAAGGUCCCAAAGUCAUGGUUAAGUGGGAAACGAUGUGGGAAGGCCCAGACAGCCAGGAUGUUGGCUUAGAAGCAGCCAUCAUUUAAAGAAAGCGUAAUAGCUCACUGGUCGAGUCGGCCUGCGCGGAAGAUGUAACGGGGCUAAACCAUGCACCGAAGCUGCGGCAGCGACACUAUGUGUUGUUGGGUAGGGGAGCGUUCUGUAAGCCUGUGAAGGUGUACUGUGAGGUAUGCUGGAGGUAUCAGAAGUGCGAAUGCUGACAUAAGUAACGAUAAAGCGGGUGAAAAGCCCGCUCGCCGGAAGACCAAGGGUUCCUGUCCAACGUUAAUCGGGGCAGGGUGAGUCGACCCCUAAGGCGAGGCCGAAAGGCGUAGUCGAUGGGAAACAGGUUAAUAUUCCUGUACUUGGUGUUACUGCGAAGGGGGACGGAGAAGGCUAUGUUGGCCGGGCGACGGUUGUCCCGGUUUAAGCGUGUAGGCUGGUUUUCCAGGCAAAUCCGGAAAAUCAAGGCUGAGGCGUGAUGACGAGGCACUACGGUGCUGAAGCAACAAAUGCCCUGCUUCCAGGAAAAGCCUCUAAGCAUCAGGUAACAUCAAAUCGUACCCCAAACCGACACAGGUGGUCAGGUAGAGAAUACCAAGGCGCUUGAGAGAACUCGGGUGAAGGAACUAGGCAAAAUGGUGCCGUAACUUCGGGAGAAGGCACGCUGAUAUGUAGGUGAAGUCCCUCGCGGAUGGAGCUGAAAUCAGUCGAAGAUACCAGCUGGCUGCAACUGUUUAUUAAAAACACAGCACUGUGCAAACACGAAAGUGGACGUAUACGGUGUGACGCCUGCCCGGUGCCGGAAGGUUAAUUGAUGGGGUUAGCGGUAACGCGAAGCUCUUGAUCGAAGCCCCGGUAAACGGCGGCCGUAACUAUAACGGUCCUAAGGUAGCGAAAUUCCUUGUCGGGUAAGUUCCGACCUGCACGAAUGGCGUAAUGAUGGCCAGGCUGUCUCCACCCGAGACUCAGUGAAAUUGAACUCGCUGUGAAGAUGCAGUGUACCCGCGGCAAGACGGAAAGACCCCGUGAACCUUUACUAUAGCUUGACACUGAACAUUGAGCCUUGAUGUGUAGGAUAGGUGGGAGGCUUUGAAGUGUGGACGCCAGUCUGCAUGGAGCCGAACUUGAAAUACCACCCUUUAAUGUUUGAUGUUCUAACGUUGACCCGUAAUCCGGGUUGCGGACAGUGUCUGGUGGGUAGUUUGACUGGGGCGGUCUCCUCCUAAAGAGUAACGGAGGAGCACGAAGGUUGGCUAAUCCUGGUCGGACAUCAGGAGGUUAGUGCAAUGGCAUAAGCCAGCUUGACUGCGAGCGUGACGGCGCGAGCAGGUGCGAAAGCAGGUCAUAGUGAUCCGGUGGUUCUGAAUGGAAGGGCCAUCGCUCAACGGAUAAAAGGUACUCCGGGGAUAACAGGCUGAUACCGCCCAAGAGUUCAUAUCGACGGCGGUGUUUGGCACCUCGAUGUCGGCUCAUCACAUCCUGGGGCUGAAGUAGGUCCCAAGGGUAUGGCUGUUCGCCAUUUAAAGUGGUACGCGAGCUGGGUUUAGAACGUCGUGAGACAGUUCGGUCCCUAUCUGCCGUGGGCGCUGGAGAACUGAGGGGGCUGCUCCUAGUACGAGAGGACCGGAGUGGACGCAUCACUGGUGUUCGGGUUGUCAUGCCAAUGGCACUGCCCGGUAGCUAAAUGCGGAAGAGAUAAGUGCUGAAAGCAUCUAAGCACGAAACUUGCCCCGAGAUGAGUUCUCCCUGACUCCUUGAGAGUCCUGAAGGAACGUUGAAGACGACGACGUUGAUAGGCCAGGUGUGUAAGCGCAGCGAUGCGUUGAGCUAACCGGUACUAAUGAACCGUGAGGCUUAACCUU